CUUCAUAAAAAUGUAUACGUUAGUGAAUAAGAAAGCAACGUUCCAAAAGAUAUUCCGUUGAAAACCAACAUAACAAAUCCAAUAAUCUUCGGAAGUAACAUAUGUGUUGGACUCUGUCAAAAUAUUCUAGAAAGAGACCAAGUCAAAUAGGAUUAGACUUUUCAAACACUAUAGCAAUUAUGAUUUCAUAAAAUCAGCCGCCACUAGUAUAGC
This 213-nucleotide long non-coding RNA is filed under the name Panax ginseng (ginseng). Its description in RNAcentral is "long non-coding RNA (PGIN_LNC010321)". Lineage: Eukaryota; Viridiplantae; Streptophyta; Magnoliopsida; Apiales; Araliaceae. The record is from RNAcentral.